AUAUAGGUCCAUGAUUAGAGCUGUCCUGAGAGUGGUGAGGAGCAGCAAACCGGAUAUAUUUUCCUCUCUCUCUCGACAACUUCGUUUGGACAAGGAUAAUAGGCCUACUCUCAGACGAUUACAGUCUUGUAAGUAGACGUUUCUCGAGAAAGCGUUUCAUUCCCCUUGGAAGUAAGGCCUAGAGGAAUCCGGUGUCAUCAAACAUGGCGCCGAGUUCAGUUCAAAUCAUCGCAGCGGUGGCUCUGAUUGGUUGCCUCUUUCACGGAGCAUGCGCAGUAGACCGUGUUUACUACAUUGCAGCGGUGGAGGAGAAUUGGGAUUACGCCCCCAGCGGUAUGAACAAUAUUACAGGAGCUUUCUUCUCCAAUCUAAAUGCUGACCGCCUAGCAAGAAGGUAGAAGGUCCAAUUUUUAUAAGUCUUUGGUAUGACUCGGCCAGGAAUCGAACACACAACCUCCCGUUCAUGGGGCGGGCGCUUUACCACUGAACCACCAUGCCCGAAGAAAACUUUCAUGUAUUAACACAAGAAAAAGGAAAGUAGGGACGUGACAUCAUCAGCCUACCUAAUGAAUAUUCAUGAUUACGUGCAUAUAACUAUUUUCACUAAAUAUUGCUGUGCUUUAAAAUACUUCGUUAUUUGUUAUCCGAUUUUGAUGAAAUUUUCAGCAUUUUGCUCCCUGAAUUUUAUUCUAUUUCUUAGAUUUAGAUAAAAAUGUUUUCAUUCCAGAGUUCUCCUUUAACAUUUGUUAUCUUGUUUUCAGAUAUGAGAAACGAAUUACUCAGGUUUAUUAUGCACAUUUAACAUUGAUAUCAAAAAGACAUGCUAAACAGACCUAAUGAAAAAGGAUGAUGUAAAAUUUCGUUUAAUCUUCAUGAUUAUUAUAAAUGUGUAUAUAAUUUGCCCAUGUAAUAGAUUACUGAUUAUUUAAUCACAAUUAAUUUAAUGAAUAUGUCAAUUGCAUCCAAUGAAUCAUAACAAAACCUUUUUUUACCACGUGUUAUACAUUUCAAAUUAGUAUGGAGGAAUAUCGUUGUAAAUUUGCUUUUACAACGAUUUUCCUCCACACUUAUAGUUCAAAUCUAGACCUCUAUUAUUAUUUUUAUCAUUUUUUUAAGUUGCAGACAACGUUAUGCAAGCUUAAAGGUAUUGUUUAACUUUGUGAGCAGCCGAUUUAAAAAAUUCUCAAACCAAGAUGAAACAUGUGUACAAGUGCAUGUAUUAGAACUAAUAAACCCUGUAAACAACCAUUAAUGAGAAUGAAAAGCUAAAACUACAAGGCAAACCCCGAUUUUGUAAAAAGGCGUCUUAUAGACACCUAAAUAGUACACAUAAGUGUAUGGGAUGAAAUUAAGAUGGUGUUUUCGGUCACUUUAUAUUUCAAUUUUUGAAGCACUAAAUAAUUAUUUUCGAACGCAAUUUUUUCUGGGCUUCAUUUUUGUAACAUAUCACAGACACAGGUGACAAGUGUGACCUUCUAGCUCAGAUUGUUUUAAAUCAAACCAAUGUUAACCAAUCACUUUAAGGGGUUCUCCAGAUUAAGGAUUAUUUGAGUUGAAGAGAUACAGUUAAAUCAGACAAGCAGAACACUGCAUCAAAAUCGGACGAGUAAUAGCAAAGGGUACACUCUAAAAAAUGAAGUGCUACUUUAACACUUAACAUGCUUAAUUGCUUAAUUAGCACUUUAUUUUUAGCUUGUAUGACACUUUACUGAUGUGGCAUGCAUUCAUCGACUCGUUCAUUGAAUAUAAGGCCUAAUGAGAACAUGCUAGACAUGUUCCACCAAUAUAUUGCAUAAUUUUGAAUUGUCAUUUCGUUGUUGUUCUUCGUCAAACUCUGAUGAAAUGUUCAGUGUUUUGUUGCUCCGAGUUUUUUAAUGAAUGGUAUCUAAUCAAAUCAUUUGAUUUUUCAUUCUGAAGACUGAACUGAUUCUUAAAACCAAAUUUGACAUUGUCUUUCCUUUUGCUUUACGGAAAGAUAUGUACAAAGACUAUGAUGCACACGGCUCUACGUAAAACGAUUUACUGCGAGCUGUGAAACUGAUACUGACUAUGAAAGUGAAACUAUAUCUCUUUCAUGCAGUUAAGUUUCCCUUUAAAAGUGAAUCCCGGUCAAUAAGUAGAGGAUGAUGUUGUCAGAUGACUCAGCCUUACCUAGAACCGGGGAGCAUUUCAUGAAGAGUUUCGUCGGUGAUUUCCACUGGCUUAUUUCCUCUUAGCCAAUCAGAUGCAAGGAUUUCAGUAGCUUGUAACAUUUGUCAGUGGAUAUUAUUGACAAUUUUCUUCAUGAAAUACCCCAUGUAGAUCUUUGAUUUUCCGAUUCUUAAACAGGUGUACAUGAAUCAUUAGUGAUGAGAGAUUAGUGCGAGGAUUAAUCUUUAGAUCGUGCUCUGUCACUCGUGAUGGAUUUAAUGUAGCAAAUGGAGUCAAAGGUUUGGGUCAACAAAAUGAGUUUGUGUAUAUAGCACGAGGCAUGAUAUUCUAUUGAGUGUAGUUUUACAACAUUUUAAAUGGGACUUUAUUAAAUUUAGAUUAUUC
Long non-coding RNA from Lytechinus pictus (painted urchin), 2535 nucleotides. RefSeq lists it as uncharacterized. NCBI's taxonomy places the organism in Eukaryota, Metazoa, Echinodermata, Echinoidea, Temnopleuroida, Toxopneustidae. The transcript has 3 exons. The record is from RefSeq and is a predicted model, not a curated record.